GAUGAACGCUGGCGGCGUGCCUAAUACAUGCAAGUCGAGCGAACAGACGAGGAGCUUGCUCCUCUGACGUUAGCGGCGGACGGGUGAGUAACACGUGGAUAACCUACCUAUAAGACUGGGAUAACUUCGGGAAACCGGAGCUAAUACCGGAUAAUAUAUUGAACCGCAUGGUUCAAUAGUGAAAGACGGUUUUGCUGUCACUUAUAGAUGGCUCCGCGCCGCAUUAGCUAGUUGGUAAGGUAGCGGCUUACCAAGGCAACGAUGCGUAGCCGACCUGAGAGGGUGAUCGGCCACACUGGAACUGAGACACGGGCCAGACUCCUACGGGAGGCAGCAGUAGGGAAUCUUCCGCAAUAGGCGGAAGCCUGACGGAGCAACGCCGCGUGAGUGAUGAAGGUCUUCGGAGCGUAAAACUCUGUUAUUAGGGAAGAACAAAUGUGUAAGUAACUAUGCACGUCUUGACGGUACCUAAUCAGAAAGCCACGGCUAACUACGUG
This 497-nucleotide ribosomal RNA is filed under the name uncultured bacterium. Its description in RNAcentral is "partial 16S ribosomal RNA". It matches the Rfam family "Bacterial small subunit ribosomal RNA", at positions 28 to 507 of the family's 1533-position model. The record is from RNAcentral.